Molecule: long non-coding RNA, 319 nt
Filed under: Gossypium barbadense (sea-island cotton)
Lineage: Eukaryota; Viridiplantae; Streptophyta; Magnoliopsida; Malvales; Malvaceae
Description: long non-coding RNA (GBAR_LNC008901)
Source: RNAcentral
GAUGGAAUAAAAUUUUAAUUGAGAAAAAUUAGCUUAAUAGAUGGGCUAAUUGAGCAAGGACUGAAUUGUAUGACCUUUGAAAUUUAGAGGAAAAAUGGUAAUAAACAUCUUGAACUAAAACAAUAUUGGACAACAGAAGUAGACUAACUUUGAAAAAUAACCAUAAAUUGUAGAAAUCGAAUUAGAAGAUGAAUAAAAUAUGAAAUUAAAGCUUAUUGAGUCUAGUUUUUCAUAGAAGAAACGUUGUAAGCAAUGGAUUUGUAAAUUAUGAGAUAUAAUGAAUUUUGUUAGACAAGAUUAGAAUGAAUUCGGGUUCCCC